UGAGGCCCAGAGGGGGAGAGCCCAGAGUGACAAUGCCAAUUAGGGCUAGGACUGGGUCCCAGGUCUCCAGCCACCACAGUGCCCUGCCUCUGCUAGAAUCAAAACCCACCCACCAGAGGACAUGCACUUGAGGCCAGUGUCCAGAGUCACGCCGCCUCCGCAUGCUCCCCGCUCCUCUGCCACCCGCCCUCCCUGCACGCUUGUCUGCCUGAAUUGCCUCUUUGUGUGCCCGUCUCCUGGAGCAGGCUCGGCAAUUUGCAUCUUUGCUGUUCUCCUUUUAAAAAUGACAGAAAAACACUCCGCAGAGUGGAGCUUGCCCAAGCGGAGCUUCUGCCGACAAAAACAGGGGCACAGAAGUCAGCUUGACAUUCUGCCAAGUGUGGCCCCUCCUGUCUCCUCCUCCAUGCCAAGAAGUAGACUUUAAUCAAUAAGUUUCUGAGAGGGGGCAGUGAGGAAGAGAUUGAAGGAGAAAAAGCACAGAUCUUCUCACCGUGCACAAUUUAGCAAACAUUUCUAUGCACAAAUUCUUGUGCAGGAGUCAUGGAGAUCAAUGAACACACCCUUUAGCGCUUUCUGCUGUCAGUUACAUGGCUCACUCUCCAUUCACAGACAGAACAGAGGAAUUCACUGGAAAGGAGAACCACUUCACAGCAACGUUUUACAAGAAGCCUGAUGGUGGGAUGGAGCCCCUCAUUCAUAUUAAUGAGACAUGCAUGGAAGUGGCAAUGAGCAUGUGGAGUGUGGCUAAAAGAAAUGUGGUUCUUCACUUGGAGCUGAUGUGAAACACAGGCAAUCUGUUGGCCUACUGAGAGGAACUUCUUUUAAAAGCCAAGAACAAGAAUACCACCCGAAGACAUCUGUUCCUCUCAUCCUUUAGUGAAGUGCAGAUGGAGAUUCCUACGUGGUUUUGUUGUCAUCAAUACCUUCAAGUGUUUCCUUCAGAAAAUGCUUUGGUAGAGAGUUUAAUACAGUAGGGAGGAAGUUUUUAGGUUUUCUCAUAAGUGUUUACCAAAAGAAGAAAGAAAAGAAUGUUCUCUCUUCUAAUAGUCAUGGCUACACUCACUGGAAUUUCUUGAAUGCGGCUUCACUUACCUGGUUUCCUCCCCAGCUGUGAAUAUGGUUCCCUGGAGACACGGCUUUGAGAAAGCGAGUGGCCAUUUUGAAGAGGCCCACAUGGCAAAGAACUGGGGUGGCCUUCAGCCAACAGUAAGCUAGGAGCUGAGGCCCUCAGUCCCAUAGGCCUGUGGACAUGGAGUUCUGUCAACAAACAAAUGAACUUGGAAGCAGAUCCUUCUCCUGUUGAGUCUUCAGAUGAGACCCAGCCCUGACUGACAACCUGGAUGGCAGCUCUGUGAGAGAUCCUGAAGCAGAGGACCUAGCAAAGCCAGCAAAGUUUCUGACCCAAAGAAACUGUGAGAUGAUAUGUAUUGUCUCCAGCCACUACAUUGUAGUUAUUUGUUACACAGCAAUGGAUAACAAACACAGAAUGUUAAAGAAGUAUUUUUAUGAGACUUUCAAUAGCUAACAUUAAGAUGUAACCAUCAAAAGAAUUAACCUUGUAAUUCAGAUGUUCAUUGUGGGCUGUCACUCACCAUGGAAGCUCAUGCAAUAAUGCUGGAGAAAUUAAAAAUGUCUUGUGUGACAUCUGGUAGAAGUUUAAAAGUAUAGACAACCAUCAUUAAAAAAAACUCAUUAUAACUUUGUUUAAAACCUUGGCCCUAGCAUUCAAAUAUUAAAAUCUAAAAUAGGCUUGGAAUUAAGGUCUAUGUCAGAUAUCUCUGUCAAAGCCCACAUAUUUUAAGAGUUGCUAAAGCUACAUACAAUACUAUGGUGAGCAUUUCAUGCCUAAGUGUGAGAAUUGUAUUUGAUGCAUAUUAAUUGGUAAAAUCUAUUAGCUAGAUACUUAAUAAGAGAGAAGACUGAAGGGAUUCAAAAACCAGUAAAUAGAGAUUGCUAAUUAAGAAAAAUAAUCUGACUCUUUUAUAGGUUUACAUCUUGUAUUACUACCUAAUUGGCUCACUGUUUUGUUUUGUUUUUAUUUGGCAGUUGAAAGAGCCUGUAGACAUUUUAAAUCUCUUAAGAAUUUAUGAUUCAUUUGGUGAAACAGUAGCUGCUAGACUUGUGGAUGUUAAGAACCAGGAAAAAUGGAAAUUCAAAAACAAAAAUAGGUAGGUGAAUGAAUAGGUGAUUGAAUAUACUGCCACAGACAGUAAACUUUAUUUUGUCAAGCUAGGACAUUAAACUAAAAAACAAAAUCACUGUAUGCUAUCAUCAUUAUUUUAUAGAGAAAGAACAAUUCAACCUCAACAGAAAAAUAAUAAUUUCAAAAUUAAAAAACAUACCUUUAAUUUCAAUAAAGCUUUUUUUUUUUUUUUUUUUGAGACGGAGUCUCACUCUUUCACCCAGGCCGGACUGCAGUGGUGCUAUCUCGGCUCACUGCAAGCUCCACCUCCUGGGUUCACGCCAUUCUCCUGCCUCAGCCUCCUGAGUAGCUGGGACUACAGGCGCCCGCCACCGCGCCAGGCUAAUUUUUUGUAUUUUUAUUAGAGACGGGGUUUCACUGUGUUAGCCAGGAUGGUCUCGAUCUCCUGACCUCGUGAUCCGCCUCCUCGGCCUCCCAAAGUGCUGGGAUUACAGGUGUGAGCCACCACGCCCGGCAAUAAAGCUAUUCUUAAGAAAUA
This is a long non-coding RNA of Pongo pygmaeus (Bornean orangutan), 2681 nucleotides long. RefSeq lists it as uncharacterized. The record is from RefSeq and is a predicted model, not a curated record. NCBI's taxonomy places the organism in Eukaryota, Metazoa, Chordata, Mammalia, Primates, Hominidae. The transcript is spliced from 7 exons.